Molecule: long non-coding RNA, 336 nt
Organism: Acinonyx jubatus (cheetah)
Lineage: Eukaryota; Metazoa; Chordata; Mammalia; Carnivora; Felidae
Exons: 2
Source: RefSeq, a predicted model, not a curated record
UGCAGUCCCAACAGAGGCAUAGAAUCCAAGAGCGGAACCUCUUCAUGCACAAGAGAAGCCUGAGGCCCAGAGAGAGGAAGGAACUUGCCAAGGUUACACAUGACCAUCUUGCAGCCCAACAUCCAGCAAACCACAUUGGAAUACAGCGUGCCACAAUGAUGGUGCUUCAUGACCCAGCCCCAAGAAUGGAUACCCCUUUCGAAGUGUCUACCCAGAGGAGAAGCACCUCCAUCCACACCAAGAGACUGGGCUGUGUUCCUGGAAAUAUGAGCCUUUAAAAGUGAAGCUAUAGUGUAAAACAAAUUCAAACAUAAAAAAGCUUUUUCUUUCACCUGA